RNAcentral lists this transfer RNA (72 nucleotides) under Blumeria graminis f. sp. tritici JIW2. Its description in RNAcentral is "tRNA-Asp (GTC) (tRNA-Asp-GTC-7-1)". It matches the Rfam family "tRNA". Rfam says of the family: Transfer RNA (tRNA) molecules are approximately 80 nucleotides in length. The record is from RNAcentral. Lineage: Eukaryota; Fungi; Ascomycota; Leotiomycetes; Helotiales; Erysiphaceae.
UCUUUGAUGGUCUAACGGUUAUGAUUUCCGCUUGUCACGCGGGAGACCGGGGUUCGACUCCCCGUCAGCUAA